AAGAAUAUGAACUAAUGCUGUUUGGGGGAUGGUUCGGCUCAAGACGCCGAUGAAGGGCGUGACUAGCUGCGAUAAGCCUGGGCUAGGCGCAUGUAGCCAUUGAACCCAGGAUACCCGAAUGGGACUUCCCGUUUCUAUUCCGAAAGGAAGGGGAACCCCCUGAAUUGAAACAUCUUAGUAGGGGGUGGAAAAGAAAGCAAAUGCGAUGUCCUUAGUAAAGGCGAUCGAAAAGGACAUAGAGCAAACUGAACUUGUGAUACUUAAGUAUCAUAAGGAUGUGGUGUAUGGGCUCUACUUACGAUUACUUCAUGUGAAGCUGAAUUUAUCUGAAAUGAUAUACCGCAGAGGGUGAAAGUCCCGUAAGCGUAAAUAUGAAGAAUUUGUGGAGUACCUGAGUACUGUGGGUCGGAUAUCCUUCAGGAAAAAGGGAGGCAUCAACUCCUAACUCUAAAUACGUAUUGAGACCGAUAGUGAAUUAGUACCGUGAGGGAAAACUGAAAAGUACCCCGAGAGGGGGGUUAAAAGAACCUGAAACCAAACAGUGAAAGAUAUGCAUGGCUCAAAAGGAGCGAUUCUUCUUAAAGGAAUAUGGAGUAAUCCAUUAGUACGAGAGAAGAGGACUAGAGUCAUGCCGUACGUCUUGAAGCACGAGGCAGGGAGUUUUUGGUAGUGGUGAGAUUAAGAAUUUAAUUUCGUAAUCAUAGAGAAAUCAACAGUCCGCAGGAGUUUACUCUGAGGGACGGGGUGUGAAAGUGCCCGGAAUCACUAUCAAAAGACCCGAAACCAGUCGAUCUAUUCCAGGGCAGGGUGAAGCCGAUUAAUUAAUUGGUGGAGGCCCGAAGAGGUACUGACGUACAACUCGUUCUUCUGACCUUGGAAUAGGAGUGAAAGGCUAAUCAAGGCUGGAGACAGCUGGUUCCUCCCUAAAUAGGCCGCAGUCUAGCCUGAAGGGAGAUUGCAGACAAGGUAGAGCACUGAUUGAAUGUUUAGGGGGAGAAAUCUCUCGGCAUACUGUCAAACUCCGAACUUGUUUGCGUCGUAGAUCUUCGGAGUCGGGGGCGUUGGGGUAAGCUCAUGUCCCCUUAGGGAAAAAACCCAGACUAGAGUUAAGGUCCACAAAUUCUGGAUAAGUUAAAGGACGUCAUCAGUCUAAAACAGCGGGAAGGUAGGCUUAGAAGCAGCCACCCUUUAAAGAUAGCGUAACAGCUCACCCGUCUAGAUUGAUGGCUCCGAUAAUGGAAUGGAUUAAACCAGAUACCGAUACUCUAGGACUCGAAAGAGAUUCGCUAGGGAGGCGUUGUGAUAGGGCUGAAGCUGGGACGUGAGUUCCAGUGGACCUGUCAGAAUUGUAGAUCCUGCCGGGAGUAACAGCAAAGUGGGGUUGGAAUCCCCACCGCCGAAAGGGCCAGGAUUCCUCAGCAAUGUUCGUCAACUGAGGGUUAGUCGAUCCUAAGACUCUUUGUAACUCAAACGAGUCGAAAGGGAAACCCGUUAAUAUUCGGGUACCAUAAAGAUACUCGCGGCAACGCAAGUUCUUUCUUUGACACUUUGGAGUACGCUAAGUGGAACUAUCGUUCCAUCUAACUAUAUAAUUCCAUGGAGAUGCUUAAUGCAGAGAAGUGGAAGAAAGUAGGAAUGGCCUGACGUUUUAGUCGGGUUUGGCCGAUCUCUGGAGUCCAUGAAAAGAGGAUAGAAAUGAAUUCUUUAUGUUCGUACCGAGAUCCGACACAGGUGCCCCUUGGUGAGAAGCCUAAGGCGUGUUGGGAUACUCCAGUUAAGGGAACUCGGCAAAAUAGCUCCGUAACUUUGGGAUAAGGAGUGCGUACUGUCUUCAUUGGACGGUACGUCUCAGUAACGUGAGGGCUUCGACUGUUUAAUAAAAACACAGCUAGCUGCUAUCCUGUAAAGGUUUGUACAGCUGGUGACAUCUGCUCAGUGCCGGCACGUUAAGCCCGGUUUCAACCGGGGGAAGCGCCGGUAAACGGCGGGAGUAACUAUAACUCUCUUAAGGUAGCGUAAUACCUUGCCGCUUAAUUGGCGGCUUGCAUGAAUGGUGUAACGAGAGCCCUACUGUCCCUAACUGGAACCUAGUGAA
This 2095-nucleotide ribosomal RNA is filed under the name Methanofastidiosum sp. Its description in RNAcentral is "partial 23S ribosomal RNA". It matches the Rfam family "Archaeal large subunit ribosomal RNA", at positions 1 to 2117 of the family's 2987-position model. The record is from RNAcentral. Lineage: Archaea; Methanobacteriati; Methanobacteriota; Candidatus Methanofastidiosia; Candidatus Methanofastidiosales; Candidatus Methanofastidiosaceae.